GGAAUCUUGGACAAUGGGGGCAACCCUGAUCCAGCGACGCCGCGUGGGUGAUGAAGGCCUUCGGGUUGUAAAGCCCUUUCACCGGGGACGAUGAUGACGGUACCCGGAGAAGACGCACCGGCUAACUCCGUGCCAGCAGCCGCGGUAAGACGGAGGGUGCUAGCGUUGUUCGGAAUCACUGGGCGUAAAGGGCGCGUAGGCGUCCUGGGAAGUCGGCUUGUGAAAGCCCGGGGCUCAACCCCGGAGGUGCAGCCGAGACUGCGGUGCUCGAGGCCGGAAGAGGAGGGUGGAAUACCCAGUGUAGAGGUGAAAUUCGUAGAUAUUGGGUGGAACACCGGUGGCGAAAGCGGCUCUCUGGUCCGGUCCUGACGCUGAGGCGCGAAAGCGUGGGGAGCAA
Molecule: ribosomal RNA, 397 nt
Filed under: uncultured bacterium
Lineage: Bacteria
Description: bacterial SSU rRNA
Rfam family: Bacterial small subunit ribosomal RNA
Source: RNAcentral